Molecule: ribosomal RNA, 153 nt
Filed under: uncultured bacterium
Lineage: Bacteria
Description: partial 16S ribosomal RNA
Rfam family: Bacterial small subunit ribosomal RNA
Source: RNAcentral
CGGAAUAUUUUUGACAAUGGGGCGAAAGCCUGAUCCAGCCAUGCCGCGUGAGUGAUGAAGGCCUUCGGGUUGUAAACCUCUUUUUCCAGGGACGAAAAUUUCGGUUCCGGGAGAAUAAGCCCCGGCUAACUUCGUGCCAGCAGCCGCAGUAAU